AGUAUUGUUAUUGCCUCUUUCUGG
This 24-nucleotide non-coding RNA is filed under the name Arabidopsis thaliana (thale cress). The record is from RNAcentral. Lineage: Eukaryota; Viridiplantae; Streptophyta; Magnoliopsida; Brassicales; Brassicaceae.